UGCCAGACCCCACUGCUAUCGGGAUAGGACUAAGACAUGCUAGUCGAGUGACUCAGGCAAAACGAGUCACGGCGAACAGCUCAGUAACACGUGGCUAAUCUGCCCUUAGGACGAGAAUAACCCCGGGAAACUGGGGCUAACUCUCGAUAGGUGAAGAACUCUGGAAUGAGUCUUCACUCAAAAAGCUUCACGUUAUCCUCGUGAAGUCGCCUAAGGAUGAGGCCGCGGCCGAUCAGGUUGUUGGCGAGGUAACGGCUCACCAAGCCUUUUACCGGUGCGGGCCGUGAGAGCGGGAGCCCGGAGAUGGGUACUGAGACAAGGACCCAGGCCCUACGGGGCGCAGCAGUCGCGAAACCUUUGCAAUACACGAAAGUGUGACAGGGCUAUCCCGAGUGCCAUCCGCUGAGGAAGGCUUUUACCCAGUCUAGAUAGCUGGGGGAAUAAGGAGAGGGCAAGUCUGGUGUCAGCCGCCGCGGUAAUACCAGCUCUCCGAGUGGUGUGGAUGUUUAUUGGGCCUAAAGCAUCCGUAGCUGGCUAGGUCAGUCCCUUGUCAAAUCCACCGAAUUAAUCGUUGGAUCGCGGGGGAUACUGCUUGGCUAGGGGACGAGAGAGGCAGACGGUAUUUUCGGGGUAGGGGUGAAAUCCUAUAAUCCCGGGAAGACCACCAGUGGCGAAGGCUGUCUGCUAGAACGCGCCCGACGGUGAGGGAUGAAAGCUGGGGGAGCGAACCGGAUUAGAUACCCGGGUAGUCCCAGCUGUAAACGAUGCAGACUAGGUGUUUGGACGGCCACGUGCCGUUCUAGUGCCGCAGGGAAGCUGUUAAGUCUGCUGCCUGGGGAGUACGAUCGCAAGAUUGAAACUUAA
Molecule: ribosomal RNA, 864 nt
Filed under: uncultured archaeon
Lineage: Archaea
Description: bacterial SSU rRNA
Rfam family: Archaeal small subunit ribosomal RNA
Source: RNAcentral